This is a long non-coding RNA of Salvia miltiorrhiza (redroot sage), 536 nucleotides long. RefSeq lists it as uncharacterized. NCBI's taxonomy places the organism in Eukaryota, Viridiplantae, Streptophyta, Magnoliopsida, Lamiales, Lamiaceae. The transcript has 2 exons. The record is from RefSeq and is a predicted model, not a curated record.
GCUGCUCGCCCGGAGUCGCCGCUGAAAGUCAGCCGCACGCCGCCGCCUUGGGUGUUCACGGCCAUCGCCUGGCCGUGGAAGAGCACGGCCGCCGCCGUUCGUCGUCGGAUUCGCUGUGAGGAGCCGAGCACCGUCUCACAAAGAUCGGAGACAACGGCAGGUUCACCGCCGCCGCUCCGUCGCCGGCGACGAGCCACCGCGGCUGCCGCCUCCCUCUGAUUUCGACUCACACACACAGUAGGUUCAAGCCACAAUUUCAGUCAUAGCAUAGAUGAUUUGAGCAAAAUUCAUACAUAGUCAGGAAAUAAUUAUCUCUAUAUGUCCAUGUAAAAAGUCAAGAUCUUUAAUUGUUCUUCAAUUAAUCACACUGCAUAUAAACACCUCACUUGCAAAUUCAGCCUUUCGAACAUCAAUGUUAAAACGAGUUUAUACACAAGUUGUAUGCACAUAAAGAGGAAUAUGAGCAGUUGUAUGCGUUGGUGGUUCUUUUGGAGUUAUGAACUUGAUACAAGAAAUGGAGUAUUUCGAUUUAGAAA